CAGAAUAUAAUAAACAUAAACUUAGUAAAGUUAUUACAUCAAAGUUCUUCUAAUCCCAGGUACGUAGACCUUUAAAUGUUCAUUACAUGAUAAUUUAAUAUUUACAAACAUGUAAACUAUCUAUUACAUCAACUCCCAGCUAUUCUGUUACUUUUCCUUUUCCCUUGUCCUUUCCAGACCCUUCUGCCCGAGUCUGAUCAGCUGAAAACAUUUAUAACAAAACAAGUAUGAGCAUUUAAUUGCUCCUCAAGUAAUAGCAUUCUUUAAGGCUCAACAAGAAAUAAAUGUUUUCUUUGAGGCACGCUUUGACAAUGAAUCAAAACUGUAAAGCAAUAAAUCUCGAAUCAUUCACAUUUCUGGAAUAUCAUAACAAUAUUGAAUAACUGAGAGGUUUUAAGACCAUGAACAUAUUUUUCUUUUCUUGAAAAGGUUCAAUCAGAAAUAUUAUCCGAUGAACCGUCUUAUCUUACGGGCACGUAGGGUGAUCGGCCCUUUAUGCCCUGUAUUGAUCAAUACUAUCUUUUCCAGAACAAUUUUCAUGUUCUACAUCACCACUCCCAGAGUGCAAUAAAAAUAUCCCAUUUCUGGGUAUGUUCAUUCUCAGUUUUAGAUUCCAACUACAACAAUAUAGCUGGAUAGCUUAAAUCAUGGCACAACAAUAAUAUUUCAAAACUAAAUAUAAAGAAAUUAAAAUAUUUUACAUCUGUGUCUGGCCAGAAGGAAUGGCUCAGACUCCUUUGCAACAUGUUCCUGCAUGUUGAAUUGCAUUAGAUAUACAUGAUAAUACAUUACUCAAUCUGUUGAAGCUGAUUGGAAUAAAAAGAUUAUUCAAUCUUAUAAUAUUCAAAAAUAAGGAAAGACAGUUCAGAAAUUAGAGAACCUGUCAACAUAUGAAUAAUCUCAUAAUACUUGCUCAUUAAAGAGUUAGAUUUAGAUACUUGCCUUGUUUGUAGUCUAUUUGUACAAUUUCAGCUUAACUUGUGUAUUCUCAUAGAUCCUACACAAUUAUUUGCAUUUACAAACAUAUUAGCUAAGUAGACAAGUCAUUUAGCUUGUAUGUUCACAUAUCACAUAAGCACAGUGAUCAUGUUUUUAGUUUAUAUCCUAUAUUUGGAAUAUUUUUAUACAUUUUUCAAAUAUCUCACCCAUGUUCUUAUAACAAUUAUUUUUCUUUUAUAGGGUCUGACAUAAGUUCUGCUCAUUGGGUUUAGAUCAUAUUUCUUUUACUUCCUUCAUUUGUCAUAAAUAUACUUUGCAAUUUUCCUUAUAAUUAGGUAUUCAAGGUGAACACCUAAGGUAUUUCAUGUUUCAUGAUUCAUAGAUUCAUUCUUAUAUGCCAGUUCGCUACAAAUCCUUGUUUUAUCUUAAAAUGUUUAACCAGCCUUGUUCAAUUACUUAUGAUAACUCUUAUUAUUGAGUCUACUAAAUUACUUAUUUACCUACUAGUAUGCUUAUACGAAACAGUCAUUACUGUAGCUGCUAAACAACAGCAGUUAGUUUUCAUUCUCUUUGUUAUGGUUACAGGAAUUAGCUAUACGUUGCCACCAUUAUGCAGCAGAUCCCUCCUUUGUUGCCAAUCUUGUUUAAGUUACGAUCUUAUUAUAUAUUAUGCUUAUAUUUCUAUUUGAAAUUUAGAAGUUAAGACUUACAAGUAAACACUCAAAUUACAACACAUAGCCAAAAAUGGCUUACCAACGCAGCAAUAGCAGCUGCUCGCUACUGCUCACUGCUGUUAUAACACAGCAGACCCUUUUCCCCAAUCCCUUGUUUUAAGAGAUCAAAUUGGUGGUGUACUCACCCCUUUAAAAAAGUAUUAGUCAACAGAUAUGGGUUAAUACAAUUAACAUCCAUAAGAGUAAGAGAGAACUCCUUGUAUUUCGCCCAAAACAGUCAACUGUUGCUGCCGUUAGUCAGCAGCCCCCCUCUCUAAAUGACUACCUUGUUAAACUUUUAUUCCUUACAUUCUUGGCUUGUUUAUAUGGAGUUUUGAAAAUAACAUAAUUGUUACCUCCACUAAAGGUUAUUAAGAUAACCUAUUAACAUCAACUACUGCUAUUUCCCACUGCUGGCUAAGAGCAACAGUUUCUUCCCUUCCAUGCUUAACACUUCAGCCAUCAUUUCUUUUUUUUUUUAUCAAUAUAGUGAUCCACAAUACAAAACAGUGUUCUAGACAUUACUCAGCUGCUAUAUACCUGGAACAUUAGUUGGGCAAACUUGAGGGUCCAACUAUAAAUAUAAACUCAAGAGAAGACUUUAAAUCGAACAACCAUUGCUGCUGCCAAAGCAGUAACUUUGCACACUAGGCUUCCACUAAUUUCAUUUUUCUAAACUUUGUACCAUAGAUAAGUUUACAUCAACUCUAGAUAUAAUACACAGAGUAUAUGGAAGUAUUUUGAGCUAAUUGAGUCCCUUCAUGCAGUCUUUAUAUACUGCCCAAAACAGAGUGUCCAAGUUACAUGACAUACUAAGUCUAACUUUUCAAUGUUAAUUUAAAAUUUGAGCUUUGUUCUAGCUUGACACACACCAACCCUCUAAUUAGCAUCACAUAUGAAUAAUAAAUUAAGCCCAAGCUCUAAUUCUACCAAAAUUCUGAUUUUAGAUAAAACAGUUCAUUGAGGAAUUUUAUCAAACACUUACAGACAUUGUUUUGCAACACAAGUGUCAUAGCUAUUUAGUUUUUGUAAAUCCCCAGUUAAGCCCCCUUAUUACUCUACUGCCACCUAUCUCCUUGUGCCUAAAAUAUAUCCAUAGCCAUCAAUUACACAGAGCCACAUACAUGUCAAUUAAUUGAUAAUCUAAUUAAUUUUAUUCUCUCCAUAACAUGCAAUUCAUUUGAUAAACACAUAUCUAUAUAUAUCACAUAGAUUUCGCUCCGGUUUAAGCAAACCUAUUGACCAACUUCAAUUUUAACAAAAACAAAAAAAAAUAAGAGGAAGAACUAAAAGUACAAUUAUUAAAUUCGUACCUUCUGUUUGAUGUGUUCUCGCUCAACUCACAGCUCCUAGCUACAGUAGUUCUUCUUCCUUAAUAACCCCCAAAUUUGGGUAUGCUUCUAAUUCAUAAUUGUGCAACCCAGCUCGUAGAAAUUACAGAGUUUUGAUUUUUUUUGCAUACUGCUAUUUGUGUGUUACUUAAGAGAAAAACUGAACUUAAGAGUUGAAGCUCUGCUCUAUAUAAACACCAAAUAUGCAAAUCACGUAAUAGGUUAUAGGCAAGCUGAGUUAUUUAAGCUAAGUUUAUGAUUAAAUGACAGCUCAUGCUAAACUAAUGGGUCAUUUCCUGAUUAAAUGCCACGUAACCCACAUUAAGCUGAGUUUCAAUUGUUCUACUGCUAAGCUUAGAUUUAAGGCAGUGUUUGGCAAGAACAAGCAAUUACCUCCCUUUUUAUACAUAUUUCACCACAUAUAAUGUAUUUUAGAUAUAAUAAAAUGCAUUUCAAAAUUUUGGAUAGAAUAUCCAUAAAUCAUUUUUAUCAAAGUGGAGAGUAUUUAUUAAAUAUAAAAAAUAUUAAUCAUUAUACUUGACAUAUCCCCACAUCACAUAUUACCCUGCACAUGAUAAUAUAAUAACACAUACAGAAAAAAAUAUUCCAGUAAAAUCUUAUUUUAUUUACUCAGGAAAAAUGUGAUUCGCUAUAUUUUCCCCCCUUAUAAAGAUUCCGUCCUCGGAAUCGAAAAGUACAAUUACCUGAACAAUUGUGGAUAAUUCUUUUUCAUUCUUUCCUCUAACUUCCACGUUGCUUCUUCAAUGUUGUGGUUUCUCCACAAUAGCUUUACUGAAGGUAUUGUCUUAUUUCACAAAAUUUGCUCUUUUCUAUCCAAUAUUUGCACAAGAACCUCUUCGUAGGUUAAAUCUUUCUCAAAUUGGAUAGGCUCAUAUUCGAUCACAUGUUUAUAAUCUGGCUUGUAUAGUCGUAAAACUGACACGUGAAACACAUUAUGAACAUGCUCUAAUUCCGGAGGUAAAGCUACUUCAUAAGCUACCUCUCCCACCUUUCUCAAGACUUCAAACGGUCCUAUAAAACAAGGACUUAACUUUCCUUUCUUUCCAAAAUGUAUCUUCCCUUUCCAAGGAGAUACUUUAGAAACACAUGUGAUCCGAAUUUAAAAUCUCUUUUCUGUCUGUGCAAAUCUGCAUACUUCUUCUGGCGAUCUUGAGCAGCUAUUAGUCGCAUUCGUAUCAACUUAACUACUUCUGCAGUUUGUUGUACCAGUUCGGGACCUAGUAGACGACGUUCGCCCACUUCAUCCCAACACAAGGGUGUUCUGCAUUUUCUUCCAUAUAACGCUUCAUAAGGCGGCAUGCCUAUACUAGCGUGAUAGCUAUUGUUGUAUGCAAAUUCUAUCAGAGGUAAGUGAUCAUCCCAACUUCCCUUGAAGUCCAUAACACAUGCACGUAGUAUAUCCUCCAGAGUCUGUAUUAUUCUUUCACUCUGUCCAUCUGUCUGUGGAUGAUAGGUUGUACUUAAUCUUAACUGUGUCCCCAGAUGUUCUUAUAAACUUCUCCAAAAAUUUGAAGUAAAUCUUGGAUCUCUGUUCGAAACAAUGGAUACUGGCACUCCAUGUCGGGAAAUAAUCUCCUUGAUGUAGAGAUUAGCUAACUGAUCUAGAUUAUAUCUAAUCUUGAUUGGCAAAAAGUGUGCUGAUUUUGUUAAUUGAUCAACUAUAACCCAAAUCGCAUCAAAUCCCUUUUGCGUCCUCGGAAGUCCUACCACAAAAUCCAUUGUGAUAUGCUCUCAUUUCCAUUCAGGAAUUUCCAAUGGCUGUAAAAGACCACUAGGUUUCUGAUGUUCAGCUUUUACUCAUUGACAAGUUAAACAUCUACUGACAUACUCUGCAACCUCUCUUUUCAUACUUGGCCACUAGAAAUGUUGUCAGAGGUCUUGAUACAUUUUGGUACUGCCAAGAUGAAUUGUGUAUCUUGAACAAUGAGCUUCUUGUAAUAUUUCUUCUUUCUGUUCCAGCUUUGUUAGAACCGAAAUUCUUCCUUCAAAUCUAAUAAUUCCAUCCUUAUCAAUAUUAAACUUUCCUUCUUUUCCUGAUGAGAUUUUCUCUUUCAAUUUCUCAUAUUCCCCAUCUUUAAAUUGCGCAUCCUUUAUUCUAUCCAAAAUAGUUGAGCAAGUCUCUAUUGAAUACAACUUUUCAUCUGACUCUUGUGGAAGUUUAAUUUAUAAUUCCAUUCUUUCCAUAGUUGUUACUAACCCAUCUUGAGUUGUCAGCAACAUCAAUUUCUCGCGACCUUUCUUGCUUAAAGCAUUAGCUACCACAUUUGCCUUACCUGGGUGAUAAAGGAUUUCACAAUCAUAAUCCUUAAUCAAUUCCAGCCAUCUUCUUUGUCUCAUGUUUAGCUCCUUCCUUGUGAAAAUAUAUUUCAGACUUUUAUGAUCUGUAUAUAUUUCACAUUUUUCACCAUACAAAUAGUGCCUCCAAAUUUUUAAAGCAAACACCACGGCUGUCAAUUCUAAAUCGUGAGUAGGAUACCCUUUCUCAUAAUCUUUUAACUAUCGUGAUGCAUAAGAAAUAACCUUCCAAUGUUGCAUAAGGACACACCCCAAACCUUUAUGUGAUGCGUCACUAUAUACCAUAAAAUUUCUUGUUUCGUCGGGUAAGGACAACACUGGAGCAUUACUCAAUCUUUUCUUGAGUUCUUGAAAACUUUCUUCACAUUUCUCAUUCCAUACAAAUUUAACUGUCUUCCUUGUCAGGUUAGUUAACGGGGUGGCUAUCUUUGAAAAAUCUUGAAUGAAUCUUCGAUAAUAUCCCGCUAACCCUAAGAAACUACGCACUUCAGUAGGCGUCUUUGGCUGUUCCCAGUUCAUAACUGCUUCCACUUUCACUGGAUCCACAAAUAAUCCAUCUUUGUCAAUCACGUGACCCUAAAAUUGAACUCUUUCUAGCCAAAAUUCACAUUUACUGAAUUUCGCAUAUAACUUUUCUUUUCUUAGUGUUUCUAACACGAUUCUCAAAUGGUUAGCAUGAUCAUUCUGUAUCUUGGAAUAGAUCAGAAAAUCAUCUAUGAAUACUACCACAAACUUAUCCAAGUAUGGUUUGAAUAUUCUGUUUAUCAUAUCCAUGAAUGCAGCUGGUGCAUUGGUUAAUCCAAAAGACAUAACCAAAAACUCGUAGUGACCAUAACAAGUCUGGAAAGCUAUCUUUGGAACAUCUUCAUCUCUUACCUUCAACUGAUGAUAUCCAGUUCUCAGAUCUAUCUUUGAAAAAUAUUUUACCCCUUUCAGUUGAUCAAAAAGAUCGCCGAUCAUGGGCAAAGGAUAUUUGUUCUUGAUCGUCACUUUGUUUAACUCUCUAUAGUCAAUACAAAGUCUUAACGACCCAUUUUUCUUCUUUACAAACAACACAGAUGUUCCCCAAGGUGACGUACUAGGUCGAAUGUAUUUCUUAUCCAGCAAUUCCUGCAAUUGUAUCAUCAAUUCCUUCAUUCCUAUAGGAGCCAUUCUGUAUGGUACUUUUGAAAUUGGUGUCGUACCAGGUACCAAAUCAAUAACAAAUUCUAUUUCCUUGUCUGGCGGAAGUCCUGGUAACUCAUCAGGGAAAACAUCUGCAAACUCAUUUACUACCACAAUGUCUUCUAUUCUCGCUCCUUUUUGCUGAGUGUCUAUCACAUAUGCGAGAUAACCCAUACAACCUUUUUGUAACAACUUCUUUACUUGCAUCAUCGUUAAGCAUCGUGACUGCUUUGAUGAUUUACUACCAUAAAACACGACCUUCGGUUGCUUUGCAGGUUUAAAACUCACAGAUUUUCUUUGGCAAUCGAUGGUUGCUCCAUGCUUGAACAACCAAUCCAUUCCCUAAAUAAUGUCAAAUUCCUUGAGUUGUAUCGGAAUUAGAUCUACUGUAAGUUCACGUUCUCCUAUCUUAACGCAACAAUCCCUAUAGAUAUGCUCUACAAGAAUCACUUCCUUAUUAGCCACUUCUAUAUUCAUGGGUAUUUCUAAAUUCAAUAAGGGCAUUUCUUUACGCUUAGCGAAUUCAUGUGAUACAAAAGAAUAGGUUGCCACAGAAUCAAAUAAUACGUAAGCAUUAAUAUUGUUGAAUGGGACAAUACCUGAAACCACAUCUUUAGAUGUUACCGCAUCCUUUGCCGCCAUAUUAAAGGUUCUGGCAGUUGGCUUAUUUGGUGUAUCUGUGCCAAUUGUAAGCGCUUUAGUGCCAUUGAUUCCUUUACCACUGCUUCCUCCCUUUGCUCCUUUCUUCGGACAAUUCCUGGCAAAGUGAUCCAUCGAUCCACAAACAUAACACCCAAAAUUUUUCUUUGGAUUUGGACAAUUAGGAGAAAUGUGUCCCUCCUGUCCACACUUAUAACAAACUGUCUGCCCUUUUAGACAAAUUUCCAAAUGAUUCUUUCCACAUUUCUUGCACGCUUCAAUUUUCUUCUUUUGCUGUCCACCUUGAACACUACUCGUGUUCCCAACAUUUUCCUUUUCUUAUUCCACUUGCUAGUACCCUCUGGUUUAACCAACCUUCAGACUGUCCUUUGUUCUUCUUAACUUUACUAUACCUACCUGCUGUUUCGCUUCCACUUUCUGCUAUUAUUGUUUUCUCAAGGAGAGCGGCAUAAGUUCCUAUCUGUAAUACUGACAACUUGUUGUAGAUCCAAGGCUUCAAGCCUAACUCAAAUUGUCUCGCUUUGUGUUCCUCUGUAUUCACUUGAUGUGGAGCGAAUCGUGCCAACUCAUUGAACUUGGCUGCAUACUCAGAUACAGUCAUAUCACCUUGUUUAAGAUUAAGGAAUCGAACUUCCAUUCUUCUUUGCAUUCCAGGAGGAAAAUAAUUUUCAAAGAAAAGUUUCUUAAAUUUGGACCACCUUAUUACACCUGUACCGGCUCUUGUUUUAUUCACUUCCCACCAAAAAUUUGCUUCCCCUUUCAGCAUAUAGGCAGCAAAUGAAGUUUUCUGCUCCCUACUUACCCUGGCUAUCUCAAAGACUUUCUCCAUUUCUUGAAUCCAUGACUGAGCCUCAAUUGGUUCGGUAGUCCCUCUAAACUCAGGAGGUCCUACACUUUUAAAAUCUUUGAAGCUAGUCAUACGAACAGUUGGUGGUGGUGGACCAUUCACAUCAGGUGGUGGAGCAUUCCUGUUCUGAAAAGCUUCCACCAUAAAACGUGCAAACUGCUGCAUAGGAUUCUCUUGGGCUUCAUUCCUAUUCUCAUUUUCAUUAUGAACCUCUUCAUUUCUAUUUUCAGUGUUAGGUUCCUCAUUAACAUUUCUUCGCACCCUAGGUACUCUUCCUCCUCUAAUUUUGGGUGGCAUUUUAUCUGUUUAAUGACAUUUAUUAUUAUUAAACCACUUAUUACAUGUACCUUCAUACAAAAUGUAAAGCAAUAACAUUCAUAACAAACAUAUUUAAUAUUAUCAUAUAUUAAGCAUGUUCUUACAUGUGCCUUGAUCAUUUUUAUCAUUGCAAACUCUUCUUGCUAUUACAUAUGUCAUAGCAUUCACAUUUACUAUUUACAUAACAUUGCUAGCAAAAGAUUUACAUAUACUAAUCCUUAACCACUAUCAGGUUAGGAUUUCCAAAAGAUAUCCCCAUAAAGCUACCAAAAGUGGGGUACAUUUACCUUCUACACCUACUAACACAUUUACCAUAUUUACAUACACAUGCCAUAUACAUCUCCAAACUGACACUCAAAUAUCCCUAUCCUGCACUUGAGUGAUAGAACGCACUCGCUCCUCUUCGGAAUUGGCCAUGACUCUGGCUCGCGAGAUGGAAUAUCUAGACUGUCCUAGCUCUAGAGGGUAAUUCCAGACAGCUGUCUGGACCCUCUUCAUAGAAUGAGCAUUUAAAAAACUCAUUAUUUCCUUUUGUCUCUUGCACUCAUCCAAUCGACUCUCCAAAUGGUGGAUAUAACCAUAAUAGGUCGUCAUCAUAUUCUCCAUUCCAUGUCGUUCUUCAUGCAAUCCCUGGAUUUGUUCUUCUAGAUUUUGAACCUUAUCUUCAGAUACCUGAAGUCUAGCUAACAAUUCGUUGUUCUGAUUCAUCAAGUAAUGGAUCAUUGCUCCUAGCUGUAUUUGUAAAGACCCCCAAACCCGGAUACUUGAAACAUGAAUUCGGUGCUUCACGAUACCAUUUCUAUGAGCGGAAUAAUACUAAUAAUAAUAACAAUAAUAUAAAACUUAAACUUAAUUAUACAUCAGAGUCUAUUUUCCCAGGUACGAGACCUUUAGUCAUUCAUUAUAUGUCAUAAUAUAUAAAUAUAUAUCAUAGUCUUCAUAAUCUAAAACUAUUACAUAUAGUACCACAAAUCUUAUUUGGUUAGCUUUCCUUUUCCCUUGCUUUGGCAUGAGCUUUCUGGUUCUUCACACUUAGCUAAAAACAUUUAAAUUAAGCAAGGAUGAGCAUUUGAGUGCCCAACAAGUAUUAUAUAUAUAUAUAUAUAUAUAUAUAUAUAUAUAUAUAUAUAUAUAAGCUGAAAGAAUUUAAAUGUUUUCUUUAUAAUACCCUUCUACAACAAGUCAAUAGUUGUGAAGUAAUCUGUACCAAUAAUAAUAACAUAACAACCCUCUUUCAAAUUUUAGAAACUCGUAUUGACUAUAUAUAAGGUUAUAGUGACAUACAAUGAACAUUAUUUUCAUUUUCGAAAGGGUUAAACAGAAAUUCAUCUGUAAACCGUCAUAACUUACGGACACUGGGGUGAUCAUCCCGUUGUGCCCUGCAUUGAUCAAUACUACAUUACAAGAACGAUGUUAUCGUUCACUCUGUCUGCUUUGGGCGCAUAAAAGUUUUUCCCAUGUAUGGGAUGUUCAUACCUGUCGGGUUUUCAUAACAAAUGUCUUAUCUUGUUCAAUAAUAAUCUAUAAUUCAAUAUAUAUAUAUAUAUAUAUAUAUAUGGGUAAUUGACAAGGUAUAUCAAUAUGUGAUUAAAUACAAUGAUUAUCCAAGUGGGGACACUUGUAUAACCAUUUAUAGAAAUUAACGAACAGAAUAUAUAUCUACAUUAUCAUAUACUAACAUGUUGAUAAUCAAUGAGCGUAUAUAAUAUAGGUUUAACAAUCUGUACAUUAAUAAUAAUAAUUCUGAACUUCUUACUUCUGUCCAUUGCAUAAAGAAAAUGCAAAGGUAGGAAACUUGCCUGAUACGCUGCUUACACUUUGCAACUUAGUUUUAUCUUUUAUGAAAACACCUAUCAGUAAUAAAGUCAUUUUACUUAUUAGAAUUACAUCAUAUCACAUAAUACUGCUUAUUGCAGUCAGCACAUUCCUAAUCACAUUGUCACAUAACCUUAACAACCAUUGAAUCACAAAUAAACAGUUAACUAAUCAAAUUAUCUAAGUCCAGAUCAAUUUCUGAAACAUGUCGGUCUACCGACAGCUUUAUCGAGUAAAUAUCGAGUCUAAGACUCUAUCUCAAAGUUCAACAUCCGUAAAUAUCAGUCAUAUAAUUUUUUAAAAGACUUAUAAAAAUUUUUAAAUAAUUAUUAUCUUUUAUCAUAAUUUUUGAAAUAUCAGAAUCAUUAUUAUAUGACUUAAAUAUCAAACAAUUCUAUUAUCAUUAACAUUUAAUCAAUAUUAAAUUAUUAAUGAAACCAUUGCCAAAAUAUUAAAGUUAUGUAUAAUAACUCAAAAUAUUUUUAAAACAUUUAUAUUACCCUUAAAUUAUUUUUAAAACAUUUAAAAUCAUUAUUAAAUAAUUACCAUUAAUAUUUAAAUAUUAAUGUUCUAUUUAUCCAAAUAUUAAAAGUCAUUAAUUAUAACUUCGAAUAUUUUUAAUUCAUUUAUAUCCUUUUUUUAAAUGAUUUUUAAAUUAAUAAAACUUUUUUUUAACUAUUUAUUUAAUAUAAUUAUUAAAUAAAUUCAAUAUCAUUAAUAUUAACUUAAUAUCAUUAAUAUUAAAUUAUUAAUGAAACUAUCCUUUAAAUAUUAAAAGUUAUAUUUUAUAACUUAAAAUAUCUUUAAACACUUUAUUUCCAUUUAAAAUGAUUUUUAUAAUAUUAAAAUCAUUUUAAAACUAAUUUAUUUAAUAUAAAUAUUCAAUAACUUUAAUAUCAUUAAUAAUAAUUAAUUAAUGAAUUUAACCAUUAAAUAUUAAAAUUUAUAUUUUAUAACUUAAAAUAUUUUUAAAUACCUUAUUAUUAUUUAAAAUAAUUUUUAAAAUAAUUAAAUCAUUUUUAAUUUAAUUAUUUAAAUUCAUUUAAUAAAUAACUUAAUUAUCAUUAAUAUUAAAUUAUUAAUGAAAAUUAUCACAUAAUAUUAAAAGUUAUUAAAAAUAACUUAAAAUAUUUUCUUAUAUCAUAAUAUAAUUUUUAAUGACUUUUCAAGUAUUUAAAUUAUUUUUAAAUAAUUUAUUUAAUAUUAUAAUUAAAUAAAUUAAAUAAUUUAUAUAUUCCAAAAAUAUAAAAUAUUUCUGAAAUAUAUUCAAAAUAAUUAAAAUAUAUUUUUUGGACAUUAAAAUAAUUUUUAAUAAUUUAUUUUGUAUUUUUAAUAAUUUAAAUAUAUUUUUCCAUAAUUAUUUAAUAAAAAUAUGAUUUUUAAUUAGAAACUGUCGCUAAAGGGUGCCUCUAGCGACAUAACUGUCGCUAUAGGUGUUCUUGAGUUGUUCUUCCUUAAACCCAGAAAUCAUGUCAGAGGUUGAGCUAGCUACUUUGACCGAGCUUAGAUUCGUGUGUGAUGUGUUUCUGGGAAACUUGUUGAUCAAAUCGUGUAGUGUUACUGUAAGACUACAAGAUCCAGCAACAACAAUAUUCAUAACAUGCAUUAAUUGAAACAUUUAAUCCCUCAAAGUAGCUGUCAGAGGCUGUUCUUCAAUUCUGGAAACCCAGAAAUGAAGAACAGAUCGAGGGUCACAUUUUGAGCCUCCACUACGUUCUGAUCUCGUAACAUUUUUGUGAUAUAAUGGUUCUAGAUUGUAGAAUACAUGUAAUACUACAGAUCCAUUACCAAAAAUCAUUAAAAAAAACAACAGAUCUAGCAGAUACAAUUCGGUCAAACUACUGUCAGAACUAAGUCUCAAGAUUUCUGGAAAUUUUCCAGAAAACACAAUCGUGAUCGUGGGUCCAGGUUUGACCAAAUAUAUCUUUCACUCUAAUGAUGAUUUAUGUGAUCUAAAAGCUUUAGCUUGUAUCUAAUAUACCAUUCUACAAUAUUGAUACAACAACAGAAGCCAAAAAACUAACAACAAAAAGAUCUGGGCCCAUAAACUUGCUGUCAGAGCGUUCUGGGCAAGUUCAUGGCUGCCCAGAUUUCUACUAGUCAACAUCGGUCAACGUUGUUUGACAACGAAUAACAUGCAAUCUGUAACUGAUUUAAGCUUUAUUCUUGAGCCAGAUCAAAGAGAAUAUACCAGGCUACAAAUACAAUGCUUUAAACAAACAAAACAGUAAACGAACUGAGAUCUAUGGGACCUGACAUUAGGUCGUCAGACCAUAUUUCUCAGUUUUCCAGAUUUUCUUAAAACUCAUAUUUGAAUACUUAGAUGUUAUAGAUCUGUAUACUACAAACCCAGAUCAUCAAAAUAGGCUAUAAACAACACAAUACAACAUCAAAUCAUAACAUUUAACACAAAAGUUUUGGACAGAUUUCAAGGUAGAGUUUUAUACCUUCUAUGCUUAAUUUCUGAUUUUGUGUUGCUGAUUUGUUUAUGUUGAACGUGGGGCUGUGUUUGGGAGUAAUAUAGCAACAAAUUUCGUGGGUUUUUGUGAGAGGAGCUCUUGGUUAGGUGUUGGACAAAUUUUUAGUAACCAAAUGCAUUUUCUCUCUCUCUCAAUCUAUAUAUAAACCAACAAGAUGCAUGUAUGGGGUGUUAAAGGACUGAUUUGUUGGCAUUUUUGAGUCACCAAGAUUUGGUAUAAGUUGGCCAACAACUCUCAUCUUGUAUAGAUUUGCAAGCAACAUAAAAAAUGUGACAAAAGGGCUUUUUGGUCAUUUUUAAAAUACAAUUAAUGGCAUUCUUAUCAUUUGCACAAACCCUUAGGGUUUGACCCUUAGGGUUCAACCCUAAGGUUUAGCACUUUGGCUUAAUUAAUUUUUAGCAACUACGGUUAGUAAAAUAUAAAAUUGAUUUUAGUUUCUAAAAUUUUGAAAAAUUAAAAUUGUUAAUUACAUUAAGCUAGUAAUUAUAUUAUACAGGGACAUUAGGGUUUAUUAUCAUCAAACUUAACUAACCUUGCCAAUUUGGCAAUUAGGGUUUAAGAUUUUAGUAAUUAGGGUUUCAGAAAUAUAAUUAGGGUUUUAUAAUUCAAAUUAGGGUUCUAAUCAUUAGGGUUUUAAUUUACUAUUUAGGUUUACCUUAAUUAGUAAUUAAAGUAUAUCAUACGUGUUAUUAAUCACAGUAACACAAUUUCUGACAGAUAAAAUUCUCCGGUUUAGGUUUCCAAUUAGGGUUUCUAAUAUCAGAAAUUCAAAUCUAAAUUAGGGUUUGACAUUUAUAAUUAUGGUUCCCUAAUUAGCAUAUCAUUAUGUAACACAUAACAUAAAUCAUAUAACAAAGUUAUAUAACAGUCUUGAAUUUACCCCUUUAAAUUGAAAAACAGGGUCAAAUCAAUUAAUGCUAGGGUUUGGUCAAUAUACACCAUAAUUGACCAACCAUCUACAGUACGUACAUACAGUACAUAUUUAUAGCACUGAAAAAUCAAAAUAAUAUAAUAUUAUAAUAUUAUUCUCAUGUCUUGAUCAAAACCCAGAUUUAGGGUUUAGAUUCCAUAUCUGAUUUAUCUGCCAUAAUUAACAUUCUAAAUUAAGUUAAAAUAAUUAACUUAAUAUCCUGAACAAAAUUCAUAUAAUGAAAUAAUCAUUAUAAUUAUUCUAAAAUCCUUUCAUAUAUUAUUUAAAUAAUAUAUGCUUAUACUUUCAUAGAAAAUAAUUAAUAAAAGCAUUUCCAAUAAGGAUUUAAUUAGUAUAAAAAUAUAAUUGAUAAUAAUUAAUAAUUCUAAAAUAAAUUUAUUUGCAAUACUUAAUGUAAUAAAUAAAUUUUAUUUAUCACACAUAUAAAUAUAUACAUAUUACCUUGGCACAUUACCCAUAUUUAUUUUAAUAAAAAAAAAAAAUUAUACGCAAAAUUUAUGAUUUAUUUAUAUAGAAAAUAUCGGGUUGUCACAUUCACCCUCCCUUAUAAAGAUUCCGUCCCCAGAAUCACCACUUUAAAACCUACACAUACCAGGGCACAUAGCAUACAAAAUCUUCACAAGUAGAUCUCGAUCUUCUUUGAUCGAACUGAUCUUUAACUAUUCACAUAAAGCUUGUCUUUCUGAUUAAACGGAAAUUUGAUUUCUAAAAGAACUCAAAUUCCUCCUUCAAAAUUUCUUUAUAAAAUAAUUUACUAUAUAUAGGAAAAUCAUAUAUACGAAAAUAAAAGUUAUUCGAAUAUUACCUGGAACUGCAUUGUCAGCUGCCACCGUGUCUUGGACCGUCAUGUUGAAGACCCUUGAUGUUGUCUUUGUUGAUUUGUUCGAUGUCGUUGGUCCCGUGAUUGCUAACGUCCCACUACCCUUACCAGUACUCACACUACAUGCCUCCACCCUCCUGUUUGGACAAUCCUUCACCCUGUGCUCCAUUGACCCGCAGAUAAAACAACCACUGUGCAUUCUAGGAUUGGGGCAGUUGGGAGAGAUAUGACCCUCCUGCCCGCACUUAUAAUAGACAAACUUUCCUUUCAAACAUUCUCCUGAGUGGUUCGUUCCACAUUUGCCACACUGCACCGCUGGCUUCUUCAUUCCCUCUUGCUUCACCUGAACGUUCCCAAAGUAAUUUCCCUUCCACUUUCCAUCAUUACCACUCCUGCUUCCACUAUUAAUUCUCACCUUCUCAGCACCCUCGACCUUACCCUUGUUCUUCUUUUCCCUGUUGUAGAGGCUCAUAGCCUCACUUCCCACCUCAGCAAUUAUCGCCUUCUCCAUGAGUGCUGCAAAUGUUGGGAUCUACAACACUGCCACCUUAUUAUAGAGCCAGGGUUUUAAUCCCAGCUCAAAUCUCCUAGCCUUCCUAGCCUCCGUAUCGACUUGAUGCGGAGCAAACCUAGCUAACUCAUUAAAUUUCGUGGCAUAUUCUGCAACAUUCAUAUACCCUUGCUUCAACUCCAGAAACUCACCUCCAUCCUAGAUUGCAUACUAGCUCAAAAAUAAUUCUCAAAAAAUAAAGACUUAAACCUAUCCCAAGCAACUACACCUGCUCCAGCCCUCACCUGAUUUGCUUCCCACCAGAAAUUCGCCUCACCCUACAUCAUGUAGGUGGCAAAAGUGGUCUUUUGCCCCUCAGCUACCCUAGCUAUUACAAACUCCUUCUCAAUUUCCCUAACCCAAGUUUGGGCUUCUACAGGGUCAGUUGUACCUUUGAAUUCCGGCGGUCCUACAGCCUUAAAGUCUUUAAAAUUCGCUAAGUGAUUACCCGGCUGGUUUCCUGCGACUGGUAUUCCUUGUUGCAUAGCUUGAGCUACCAUAUUCGCAAAUUGUUGCAUUGGGUUCGCUUGUUGCUGUCCCUCAACAUUGUUGACAGACUCUUCUACCCUUUGGUUUCGAGUUUGACGUCUUGGCGGCAUUAUCUGGUUAAGUAAAACCAUAAAUUAACUUACAUUCUAAACCUUAUCAUAUAAGUUUAAUAUAUUAAACUUGUUUCAUAACUCAAACUUUGAUUCAUAUUCAUUCAUUGAUUUCCAAAAUACUUUACAUAUCACAUCACAUAGUGCUUUAAACAUCAGUUAUCCCAUCGUGACUACAAAAGUCGGGAUUUACUACACCACUUGUACAAAAGUUUUAGAAUAAUACAUUAUACAGACAUACUAAGCACACAUACUAUAUUAAACACGCCUACACAACAGAACCUAUACUACCUAUUUACUAUGCCUUCUUUCUUGGACAACUUCUCGCCUGAUGAUCUUCCUUUCCACAGACAAAACAUGCUCCUGGUUUAUAGUAAGGACAAUACAGAGUAGUAUGUCCCUCAUAUCCACAAAGAUAACAAAUUCUUUUCCCUUUCUUCUUAUCAGGUUUUCCUAAAUCAUGGUCUUCUAUCUUUCUUUUCCACUUCUUGCUCGGAGCUGCACACGAAGUGUUGCUUGAGGCUCCCAUCAGAUCAAUUUGGAUUUUCAACUUAUCUUGUUCUUCCAUUGUUUCUAUUAAUGCCUGACGCAAUUGACUAUUAAGCAACUUUUCUAUCUCCCACAACCUUUCCAGAGAAGAAACUUUGUUCCUCAGAUUCUGCACCUCCAUUGAUGCUUGUUCAGCUUCAACUUUAGUGUCUGAAUCACUAUCUGUCAGCUCCACCAUUUCUGGAUCUGGUACUAUGUUUUCUACAAUGACCACCUCAUCCAAGUCGUUUUCAUUAUGAGCUUAUAUUUCAGCUAUUGGCUUUGAUAUCAGCUCGGGUGUAUGGGUUUGAUCCUUCUUCAUGCUAUAAGCAUACAACAAUCCUUUUCCACCAAACAUCUACACACAUAAAUUAUCCUGAUUAGUAUAUAGUAUAUACACACAACAAAUAGUAGUUUUGUAUAAGUUAUCUUUUAUUUUGUUUGACGAUGAAUUUAUUCAUUUCAUCUCUUUUUAAACUCUAUAUGAGUUAUUUAUAUUUUCAACGUUUCCCUCUGUUCUAAGGUUAUAGCCUAAGGUCUAACCCACCUAAGGUUUCUAACCCUAUAGCUCUGAUACCAUCCUGUAAAGACCCCCAAACCCGGAUACUUGAAACCCGAAUUCGGUGCUUCACGAUACCAUUUCUAUGAGCGGAAUAAUAAUAAUAAUAAUAAGAAUAAUAUAAAACUUAAACUUAAUUAUACAUCAGAGUCUAUUUUCCCAGGUACGAGACCUUUAGUCAUUCAUUAUGUAGGGACCCCCCAGAAUCCCCGCGGAUUCGGUACACUAAUCUUUCUAUAACUUUUUGCGGAAGAUAUAAAUAUAAGUUGUUUAUACAUUAAACUUUACACAUAUUUCCCCAAAAUCGAGUAACCUUAACUUUUACACAAUUCAUAGGCUAUCUAACAGAUAACAUAUUAUUCAACUAUACUAUUACAAACUAGCCGCACAUUUUAUCCCAAGCUGAACUUGGCAUUAACCUUUUCCUGUAACCGAACGCAUUCGCCUUAUCUGCAAUGUUUAUCAUGAUAUAGCAAGGGUGAGCAUGAAAGUUGCCCAGCAAGUUUAAAUACAAUUCAAGGAUAUAUCAUGAUUAAAGAGUAUGAAUAAUAAGCUGGCUAUAAUUCAUCAAUAUAAUUGAGAACUAGCACGAACAAACUUUUGACUGAACAAGUUUUAAACAUGAACAAACAUUUCUGGACCAACCGGUAAUGAAGGUGAUCUGCCUUUCAUACCUGACUUAUACAUGCAAGAUGUACAGAGUACAAUUUUCAUGACAAUCAGCAAUGAUUAACCAUAAGCUUGAAUAAAACACUCUUAUUAGAGUUAAGUAAGAACAAACUUGCCUGAUUCGUUGACUACUGCUUACGCAAUUUAUGUUAACUUCUUUUGUAAGACCUAUCAUUAAUAAGAUCGAUCCUCCAAUCAGCAUAUCAUACAUUGUAUCAUAAUACAAUUACUUAAUCCAUAAAUUAUCUAACACUUAAACAAAUAUUAGAUAACAUCUUAACGCAUCAGUAUUAUUAUCAUCAUUUGAUCUUCGAUCACUAUAUCAUAUUAUAAUUUAUCACUCACUUUUUCAUUUCAUAAGCUAUUCUUUAACAUCGAAUAAGUUAAAUACUAAUCCAGCAACCUGGAUUCUAAAUCUAGCAACCAAAUUUCCUAUCCAGUCGACUGGAUUCCAAAUCCAGCGACCUGGAUCCAACAUAUAACCAAUCCAACAACUUAAACUGCAAUCCAGCUAACUAGCUUACAAUCCAGCAAACUGUAUUCACCAAAUUUUUCCAAUCCAGCAAGCUAGAUUUCAUUGAAAAUACCAAACCAGUUUAUUAUUUUUCUAUCCUUUGUCCAAACACAUAUACAUAUAUUUUAUACACAAAAAUUAUUUUUCCAUAAUUUUCUAAUUUUGUUUGGUAUUUUUCAAAAAUUAAUUUUAGUGCGUAGCUUAAGAAAUUAGCUACCUCGUGCUUAACUCCAAACAUUCCCAUCUCUUGGCAUAACCUUAUAUAUGUUAACGUGACACUCCAGUUUAAAUUUCGUGGCAAUCGGAGUUGUAGAACUCCGUUUAUAGCGAUUUCCGUCGGAAAAUCACAAAAAUUGUAAUGGUCAUAACUUGGUCGUUUUAAGCCGGAAUUAGCUCAUUUUUGGACACAAGGUGCUUAAUACCAUAUAUUUUCAUGUCCCUAAAGACAGGAAUUUAUUUCACACUUUAAGUUGCCAAAACAGCCCUCGAAAAAAUCUGGGCAGCAACUUUUUGUCUUUUAGCAGUUUUGGAAUCCUUUACUAAAUCUUAAAUAAAAUGAGAUCUAUAACUCUGAUUAACGAUCCGUCAAUUUUUUUGGAUUCGUAUCUUUCCGAUCUACAAUUUUCAUCCAUCACAAUCCAUAUUUGGACAUGUUAAGCUCCCGGAAAUUAUCCCGGAAGUGGCUGCUCAAAACUGUCAUUCUAACAAUUUUCCUAUCUUUGAGUAGUUUGGGAUAAAUUACAUAACUUGCUCAUUAUUCAACCUAAUUGAGUGAUUCAAAAGGGGUUUUAUCCUUCACACAUAGAUCUAGCAUCCCAAGAACAUAGAUCACAAAUAUCCAUCAUAUAUUUCAAAAAACUCAAAACCUAGCUCACACUUUAAAAGUUCAAACUUUUCCGGAAAAAUUCCAUUUUUGUCUUCCUUUGAUUCCAACCAAAUUAACACCCAAUAUGGGUAGAUCCAAACAAUAAACACUCAUUAACAUGUAUAUACAUAGUUUUUGAGUUUAGAAACAAAUUUUCUUAUUUCAUCAAACAAGCAUCAACCACAAGAUUAAAUAAUAUCAAGACUAAGAAAAUUAGGAUUUUCUACACUUUGAAAACCUAGCUUCACUUUUAUUGCUUUUGAUCUAACUUCUAACACACAAGAUGGAUAGAUCCACACAUAAAACACUGUAAAUCAUGUAGAUCUAAGAUUUUUGAGUUUUGAAACCUUAGAACUUUAUUCCAUCAACAUAACUUAAAUCAAAGGAUAACUUAGGUUUGAUUUUAUACCUUUGAUUUCAUGCUAGUCUUUCUUCUUCUUCAUAGCUUGAUUAUGUAGCUUUGAUGUCUCACUAAAAACUCCCCUUUCUCUCCUCUAGUGGCUGCCGAACUCUAGGCUCUCUCUCUCUCUCCCUCUCUCUCUCUCUUUUGUUCUUGAAGAAUACCAAAAAGAAAGAUGAAAGAGAAAAAGUAAGAUAGAGUUUCAUUAGAUAUGGAUACAUCAAUUCUCCCUUUUCUCUCCU
RNAcentral lists this long non-coding RNA (19260 nucleotides) under Panax ginseng (ginseng). RNAcentral's name for it is "long non-coding RNA (PGIN_LNC003900)". Lineage: Eukaryota; Viridiplantae; Streptophyta; Magnoliopsida; Apiales; Araliaceae. The record is from RNAcentral.